Molecule: ribosomal RNA, 506 nt
Filed under: Bacillaceae bacterium CL2.99
Lineage: Bacteria; Bacillati; Bacillota; Bacilli; Caryophanales; Bacillaceae
Description: bacterial SSU rRNA
Rfam family: Bacterial small subunit ribosomal RNA
Source: RNAcentral
GAUCCCUGGCUCAGGACGAACGCUGGCGGCGUGCCUAAUACAUGCAAGUCGAGCGAAUCUUUGGGAGCUUGCUCCCGAAGGUUAGCGGCGGACGGGUGAGUAACACGUGGGCAACCUGCCUAUAAGACUGGGAUAACUUCGGGAAACCGGAGCUAAUACCGGAUAAUCCUUUUCCUCUCAUGAGGGAAAGCUGAAAGACGGUCUCGGCUGUCACUUAUAGAUGGGCCCGCGGCGCAUUAGCUAGUUGGUGAGGUAACGGCUCACCAAGGCGACGAUGCGUAGCCGACCUGAGAGGGUGAUCGGCCACACUGGGACUGAGACACGGCCCAGACUCCUACGGGAGGCAGCAGUAGGGAAUCUUCCGCAAUGGACGAAAGUCUGACGGAGCAACGCCGCGUGAACGAUGAAGGCUUUCGGGUCGUAAAGUUCUGUUGUUAGGGAAGAACAAGUAUCGGAGUAACUGCCGGUACCUUGACGGUACCUAACCAGAAAGCCACGGCUAACUA